CCAGAGUCAAUUCGAUCAAUAAGCUUUUGUAAGCACUCAUCCAUAAAAAACUCGACUAGUGCGGCUUCCUUUCGAGGAAAAGAUCCAAUGAUAGCAGGGGAGACACCAGCGUCCCUUGCACCAGCAAUCAUGGCUUCUUCACUCCAUCCCAACCUUAUCACGUGGCGAAAGGAAGCCUGAAGAACGCGAGCUUGCUCAUCUUGGUACUCAACUAUCGGAAUCCGCCUCUCCUGCUGGCGAUGGUGGUGGUGACCGUAUCGGGCAUCGUCAGCCGUAAAUGAUGUUGACCCACUUGAAGACGAAGACGUUGAAGAUGAUGACAAGUUUGAGUCUGAUUGGUUAGGUGUGGCCUCCACAUUCAGACAUCGGAUUUGAUUUUGAUUAUUAGGGUUUUGA
This 396-nucleotide unclassified non-coding RNA is filed under the name Hevea brasiliensis (rubber tree). Lineage: Eukaryota; Viridiplantae; Streptophyta; Magnoliopsida; Malpighiales; Euphorbiaceae. The record is from RNAcentral.